UCUAGUGUCCUUUCGAAUCCGAAGUUCGCGAAGGAAAGUGCUGCAAAAUGGAGCGACCUUCGGAUUCAGGACACUAAGCCAUGAUCAUCGGCAUCGGGUCGGACAUCAUCGACAUCACGCGCAUCGAGAAGGUGAUCGGACGUCACGGCGACCGGUUUAUCGACCGAAUUUUCACAGAGGCUGAGCGGGCCAAGGCGGAGCGGCGCUCCAAGAUGCCCAAACUGAUCUGGGCGACCUACGCCAAGCGGUUCGCUGCCAAGGAGGCCUGCUCGAAAGCGCUGGGCACCGGCAUCCGGCGCGGGGUGUGGUGGC
Molecule: unclassified non-coding RNA, 312 nt
Filed under: Hevea brasiliensis (rubber tree)
Lineage: Eukaryota; Viridiplantae; Streptophyta; Magnoliopsida; Malpighiales; Euphorbiaceae
Source: RNAcentral